AUUGAACGCUGGCGGCAGGCCUAACACAUGCAAGUCGAGCGGAUGAGUGGAGCUUGCUCCAUGAUUCAGCGGCGGACGGGUGAGUAAUGCCUAGGAAUCUGCCUGGUAGUGGGGGACAACGUUUCGAAAGGAACGCUAAUACCGCAUACGUCCUACGGGAGAAAGCAGGGGACCUUCGGGCCUUGCGCUAUCAGAUGAGCCUAGGUCGGAUUAGCUAGUUGGUGAGGUAAAGGCUCACCAGGGCGACGAUCCGUAACUGGUCUGAGAGGAUGAUCAGUCACACUGGAACUGAGACACGGUCCAGACUCCUACGGGAGGCAGCAGUGGGGAAUAUUGGACAAUGGGCGAAAGCCUGAUCCAGCCAUGCCGCGUGUGUGAAGAAGGUCUUCGGAUUGUAAAGCACUUUGAGUUGGGAGGAAGGGCAGUAAGUUAAUACCUUGCUGUUUUGACGUUACCGACAGAAUAAGCACCGGCUAACUUCGUGCCAGCAGCCGCGGUAAUACGAAGGGUGCAAGCGUUAAUCGGAAUUACUGGGCGUAAAGCGCGCGUAGGUGGUUCGUUAAGUUGGAUGUGAAAGCCCCGGGCUCAACCUGGGAACUGCAUCCAAAACUGGCGAGCUAGAGUAUGGCAGAGGGUGGUGGAAUUUCCUGUGUAGCGGUGAAAUGCGUAGAUAUAGGAAGGAACACCAGUGGCGAAGGCGACCACCUGGGCUAAUACUGACACUGAGGUGCGAAAGCGUGGGGAGCAAACA
RNAcentral lists this ribosomal RNA (751 nucleotides) under uncultured Pseudomonas sp. RNAcentral describes it as "bacterial SSU rRNA". It matches the Rfam family "Bacterial small subunit ribosomal RNA", at positions 28 to 774 of the family's 1533-position model. Lineage: Bacteria; Pseudomonadati; Pseudomonadota; Gammaproteobacteria; Pseudomonadales; Pseudomonadaceae. The record is from RNAcentral.